RNAcentral lists this small nuclear RNA (136 nucleotides) under Sorex araneus (European shrew). RNAcentral's name for it is "U2 spliceosomal RNA (ENSSARG00000020218.1)". It matches the Rfam family "U2 spliceosomal RNA". From Rfam's summary of the family: U2 is a small nuclear RNA (snRNA) component of the spliceosome (involved in pre-mRNA splicing). Complementary binding between U2 snRNA (in an area lying towards the 5' end but 3' to hairpin I) and the branchpoint sequence (BPS) of the intron results the bulging out of an unpaired adenosine, on the BPS, which initiates a nucleophilic attack at the intronic 5' splice site, thus starting the first of two transesterification reactions that mediate splicing. Lineage: Eukaryota; Metazoa; Chordata; Mammalia; Eulipotyphla; Soricidae. The record is from RNAcentral.
AUCACUUCUUGGCCUUUUGGCUAAGAUCAAGUGUAGUAUCUGUUCUUAUCAGUAAAAUUCUCUCUGAAUUUCUCUCUUGGUCAUAUGUAUGGUGAGAUAACUGGGUUAGGUCAUCUCCAGGACUCUUCAAUUCUAA